GAUAAUAAACUGGAAGAUUCAGGAGUUAAACUGGUGUCUGCUGCGUUGAGGAACCCGGAGUGUAAAAUACAGAAACUGGGGCUGGACUAUGUCGGUCUCACAGAUUCUGGUGCCGAAGAUCUCGCCUCCGCUCUCAGUAGAAACACAUCCCUGACAGAGCUGAACCUGAGUGGUAAUGAACUGGCAGAUUCAGGAGUGAAACUGGUGUCUGCGGCUCUGAGGGACGCGAAGUGUAAAAUACAGGAACUGUGGCUUCACAGUGUCGGUCUCACGGAUUCUGGUGCCGAGGAUUUCGCCUCCGCUCUCAGUACAAUUCCAUCACUGACGCAGCUGAGCUUGGCAUCAAACUCGCUGACAGACCGAUCUGUCCCCGCUCUCCGCCGCAUUAUACUGACUCUCCCGAGUCUGGAGAGGAUCUGCCUGAGUGGGAAUCAGUUCAGUGAGACAUGGAAGAAGGAAGUGGAGUCUCUGAAGGAACUUCGACCCGGACUGAGAGUGGAUCUGUGAAUAUCUGCAUGUGUCAACAUCACAGCCCGCGGGAUAGGGAUAUUUUGACCGAAUUUCCGCCCUCCCAUUAAUAGGCGCCCUCCCGUUUAAUUUCCAACCGUUCCAACGGACGCUGGCUCUAGCCAAGCCCUCUGUGACGUCAGAGAUGGCUCCACAGUGACACAAUAUCGCUUCACGUCCCGCGUUUCUGCUUCCGGCUGAAGUCCGGGUAAAGAGCUCCGACAAGUGCGACCUCAGGAAUUACACAGACAGGAAGACCCCGCGGGUGGGGCCGAGUUCCCCGGAUGGGAUUAUCCCAGGAGAGGAUGCUUCUUUUUAAGGAUUGGGCUGAGGCCGAUGCAUUCGGCAGUCUGGCCGAUGUAAUGAUGUUAAAUUAGCAGACACCUCGGCAUUGACCCUCGAUCUGCAGCGAUCUCAGACACGGCACUGUGAUUUUAUAAUCAAUGGGUGAGAAACGGGACUGUUUCUGCAGCCUGUCACUCGUUGUCGCCGAUCAGUUAAUUGUGUGUGACUGUGAGUGAUUCGGGAACAGUGUAUUUAUUCCUGCCCGUCAGCAGCGCUCACAAUGUUUAAUUUACAUUUGAGCUGAGCCG
This is a long non-coding RNA of Hypanus sabinus (Atlantic stingray), 1100 nucleotides long. RefSeq lists it as uncharacterized. The transcript is spliced from 4 exons. The record is from RefSeq and is a predicted model, not a curated record. Lineage: Eukaryota; Metazoa; Chordata; Chondrichthyes; Myliobatiformes; Dasyatidae.